RNAcentral lists this ribosomal RNA (852 nucleotides) under Gammarus glabratus. RNAcentral's name for it is "partial 16S ribosomal RNA". The stretch from base 563 to 852 matches the Rfam family "Bacterial large subunit ribosomal RNA", at positions 2046 to 2586 of the family's 2925-position model. The record is from RNAcentral. Lineage: Eukaryota; Metazoa; Arthropoda; Malacostraca; Amphipoda; Gammaridae.
GGUAAAAGAAAAAGUGGGGGUUGUACCUUUUGUAUCAGGGGGGCUUAAAAAUGUAGUUAGGGUCUAAUCGAUUUAAGCGGAGCUUCUUUCUUAGUCUUUAGUAGAAGUUAAAGAAUGAAGUAUUUAAGAGGUGAAAAAUGUUCGACGUUUGUGGUAUCUAAUUACUUUGUUGAUAGAAGGGUUAAGCUUUUGUAUGUUUAUGAAAAAGUGUAGUUAAGAAAACUAGGCUUUAGAUUAGCCAGGCUAAUAGGUUGUUUAAAAUAAUUUUAAAGUUGUUAUUUGUAGCGUAAAUUUAUAAGAGUCGUGCUUGUAAAUUUUAAUAAAUAAAGAUAAUGAGUCUAUUGAACAGUAGUUGGAGCCUAAAAAUGACUCAAUAAAGGUUAGAAAGUUUAACAAAAACAUUUUUAUACGUGUAAUUUAUGGUACGACCUGCCCGGUGCUUGGUUAACGGCUGCGGUAUUUUGACUGUGCUAAGGUAGCAUAAUCAUUUGUUUUUUAAUUGAAAACGAGCAUGAAAGGUUUAACUGGCUUAAUUAGUUUGUAGAAUUACAUAGAAGAUUUAAGUAAAGGUAAAAAUUCUUUUAUAACCCAGGGGACGAUAAGACCCUAUAAGCUUAACAAUAAGAAUUAUUAUUAGUAAUGAGUAAAUAUUUGUUUAACUGGGGCGGUUUUUGUAUAGGAACUAUAAGGUUAUUAGCAGAUCCUUUUAAUUAAGAUGAAAUAGAAAAGUUACUAUAGGGGUAACAGCAUAAUAUUUUUGGAGAGAUCUUAUCGAUGAAAAUGUUUGUGACCUCGAUGUUGAAUUAAAAUAUCGCUACAGGGUAGAUUUUGUAGUAGAGGGUUUGUUCAACC